GAGGAAUUUCUGCCUCGUUCACAGUCCUCCCCUUCUUCACAGCAACUAACAUCGUCUCCAACGUCUGUAGAGAGCAACCGCAACAGCUCUGCAUCAGGCCAUAUGGAUGUCCUGCAGAUCUUUAACAAGCCAGUCUUUGUAAAUGUCUUUGACUUUCAGGUCUCACCCACCUUCAAACCGCGAUCGAAUCUCCUGGCUUUGGAGCUCUCCCCCGCGCUCUUGGCGUUCUGUAAGGCCGUCCUGUACAUGGCCGCCCUCUCCUCCAGGGUGUGCUG
This is a long non-coding RNA of Lates calcarifer (barramundi perch), 275 nucleotides long. RefSeq lists it as uncharacterized. The transcript has 3 exons. The record is from RefSeq and is a predicted model, not a curated record. NCBI's taxonomy places the organism in Eukaryota, Metazoa, Chordata, Actinopteri, Centropomidae.